This is a long non-coding RNA of Sorghum bicolor (sorghum), 1260 nucleotides long. RefSeq lists it as uncharacterized. The transcript has 3 exons. NCBI's taxonomy places the organism in Eukaryota, Viridiplantae, Streptophyta, Magnoliopsida, Poales, Poaceae. The record is from RefSeq and is a predicted model, not a curated record.
AAUGCUUGCUGUCUUCAAGUUCAUCUGCACGGGUGAAGGGCGGCAAUCAUGUUUUUGGGGAGUGUCGCUGGCGGCACGACUACUCACGUCAUCCUCUUCUUCCUGGUGGCUGUGCACGUCAUUGGGUUGACCAGCACUGCUACAUACCUACACAGCAUCGAGCGGGACGAUUACACCAACAAGCGCUGUCAACUAGCGCAACCGGCUCUGGUGCCGCUAGCUAGAUCAGCUGGGCCGCAUACUCAAGAGAAGGAGUGUGCUUGGGAACAUGCUGAUACUAUGUUCAAGGCAGCAAUUUUGAGCGUGCUAGGAGACUCCAUAGUAGAUGUCUAUAUGUCGCUACAGAGCGGUAAAGCUAUGUGAGAAGCACUUGAGGCCAAGUAUGAGGUUUCUGAUGCCGGUACUGAGUUGUAUAUCAUGGAGCAGUUUCACAACUGCUGGAUGGUUGAUGACCAUCCUAUAGUGGAACAAGCUCAUGAGAUAUAAGCACCGGCAAAAGAACUCAAAAUAUUUGGAUGUGUGUUACCUGACAAGUUUAUGGUAGGUUGCAUAAUUGCUAAACUACCACGUACUUGGACUAAUUUUGCUACUUCUCUGAAACAUAAGAGACAAGAGUUUGGCAUUACCGAGCUUAUUGAAUCUUUGGAUAUUGAAAAGAAGGCGAGAGUAAAAUACGUCUGUGGCAAGAAGAUCGGUGAGGGGAGUUUUAGUGCACAUCUGGUGCAAAAGAAUCAUCUGAAGCCUUAGAAAAAGAAAUUUCAGCAAGAACUUAAAUAAAAAUCUACCAUUGCUUUUAAGAAGAACAAGGAAAAAGAAAAUUGUUUUACCUGUGGUAAUACUAGACACUAUGCUAGAGAGUGUCCAAAGGCUAAGUGGAAGCCUCCAGCCAAGAAAUCAUCAAACACCAUUGUGACUGAUGCUGGAACAUCGGGGGAGGCCGACUUUCCUCCUUAUUGAUGGGGAACAGGGCGCAUGUGGCUGUACGUGGUGUUGGUACGGUCGAUCUGAAGUUUACUUCGGGAAAGACCGUACAACUCAAGAAUGUGCAUCAUGUCCCAUCAAUAAAGAAGAAUUUUAUUAGUGGUUCUUUGCUUUGUCGAGAUAGUUAUAAACUUGUGUUUAAAUCUAAUAAGUUAGUGCUUUCUAAGUAUGGUACUUUUGUUGGAAAAGGCUAUGAGAGCGGAGGCUUGUCUUUGACAAAUACUUGUUUUAAUUGUGAGAAUCAUAUGAGCCAUGAUAUUGAUACUAAUAUUUGGCAUU